UGCAAGUCGAACGGUGAGACAGCGCAAUAAGCUUGCUUGCUUUGCUGACGAGUGGCGGACGGGUGAGUAAUGUCUGGGAAACUGCCUGAUGGAGGGGGAUAACUACUGGAAACGGUAGCUAAUACCGCAUAACGUCGCAAGACCAAAGAGGGGGACCUUCGGGCCUCUUGCCAUCGGAUGUGCCCAGAUGGGAUUAGCUUGUUGGUGGGGUAACGGCUCACCUAGGCGACGAUCCCUAGCUGGUCUGAGAGGAUGACCAGCCACACUGGAACUGAGACACGGUCCAGACUCCUACGGGAGGCAGCAGUGGGGAAUAUUGCACAAUGGGCGCAAGCCUGAUGCAGCCAUGCCGCGUGUAUGAAGAAGGCCUUCGGGUUGUAAAGUACUUUCAGCGGGGAGGAAGGGAGUAAAGUUAAUACCUUUGCUCAUUGACGUUACCCGCAGAAGAAGCACCGGCUAACUCCGUGCCAGCAGCCGCGGUAAUACGGAGGGUGCAAGCGUUAAUCGGAAUUACUGGGCGUAAAGCGCACGCAGGCGGUUUGUUAAGUCAGAUGUGAAAUCCCCGGGCUCAACCUGGGAACUGCAUCUGAUACUGGCAAG
RNAcentral lists this ribosomal RNA (600 nucleotides) under Escherichia coli. RNAcentral's name for it is "bacterial SSU rRNA". It matches the Rfam family "Bacterial small subunit ribosomal RNA", at positions 56 to 640 of the family's 1533-position model. The record is from RNAcentral. Lineage: Bacteria; Pseudomonadati; Pseudomonadota; Gammaproteobacteria; Enterobacterales; Enterobacteriaceae.